GAAGCGUAGUAAUGCGUGAAGCUAACUUGUACUAAUUGGCUGAUUGUCUUGACCAUAUAAUCUGAGUUACUUCAGAU
RNAcentral lists this ribosomal RNA (77 nucleotides) under Legionella sainthelensi. RNAcentral's name for it is "partial 23S ribosomal RNA". The record is from RNAcentral. Lineage: Bacteria; Pseudomonadati; Pseudomonadota; Gammaproteobacteria; Legionellales; Legionellaceae.